This 594-nucleotide ribosomal RNA is filed under the name Sus scrofa (pig). RNAcentral's name for it is "partial 16S ribosomal RNA". It matches the Rfam family "Bacterial large subunit ribosomal RNA", at positions 1797 to 2619 of the family's 2925-position model. The record is from RNAcentral. Lineage: Eukaryota; Metazoa; Chordata; Mammalia; Artiodactyla; Suidae.
CGCCUGUUUACCAAAAACAUCACCUCUAGCAUUACUAGUAUUAGAGGCAAUGCCUGCCCAGUGACACCAGUUUAACGGCCGCGGUAUUCUGACCGUGCAAAGGUAGCAUAAUCACUUGUUCUCCAAAUAAGGACUUGUAUGAAUGGCCACACGAGGGUUUUACUGUCUCUUACUUCCAAUCAGUGAAAUUGACCUUCCCGUGAAGAGGCGGGAAUAAAAAAAUAAGACGAGAAGACCCUAUGGAGCUUUAAUUAACUAUUCCAAAAGUUAAACAAUUCAACCACAAAGGGAUAAAACAUAACUUAACAUGGACUAGCAAUUUCGGUUGGGGUGACCUCGGAGUACAAAAAAACCUCCGAGUGAUUUUAAUCUAGACAAACCAGUCAAAAUAACCAUAACAUCACUUAUUGAUCCAAAAUUUUGAUCAACGGAACAAGUUACCCUAGGGAUAACAGCGCAAUCCUAUUCUAGAGUUCCUAUCGACAAUAGGGUUUACGACCUCGAUGUUGGAUCAGGACACCCAAAUGGUGCAACCGCUAUUAAAGGUUCGUUUGUUCAACGAUUAAAGUCCUACGUGAUCUGAGUUCAGACCGG